GAUGAACGCUAGCGGCAGGCCUAACACAUGCAAGUCGAGGGGCAGCAUAAGAUGUAGCAAUACAUUUGGUGGCGACCGGCGGACGGGUGCGUAACGCGUAUGCAACCUACCCUUAACAGGGGGAUAACGGAGGGAAACUUCCACUAAUACCCCAUAACAGUUCGAGUGGCAUCACUUGGAUUUGAAAAUUCCGAUGGUUAAGGAUGGGCAUGCGUUGUAUUAGAUAGUUGGUGAGGUAACGGCUCACCAAGUCAACGAUACAUAGGGGGACUGAGAGGUUAACCCCCCACACUGGAACUGAGACACGGUCCAGACUCCUACGGGAGGCAGCAGUGAGGAAUAUUGGUCAAUGGGGGCAACCCUGAACCAGCCAUGCCGCGUGCAGGAAGACGGCUCUAUGAGUUGUAAACUGCUUUUGUAAAGGGAUAAUUGUCGGUACGCGUACCGGCUUGAAGGUACUUUACGAAUAAGGAUCGGCUAACUCCGUGCCAGCAGCCGCGGUAAUACGGAGGAUCCAAGCGUUAUCCGGAUUUAUUGGGUUUAAAAGGUGCGUAGGCGGUGAGGUAAGUUAGAGGUGAAAGGCCGUGGCUCAACCACGGGACUGCCUCUGAUACUGCCCCGCUAGAGAGUAGAUGCGGUAGGCGGAAUGUGUGGUGUAGCGGUGAAAUGCUUAGAGAUCACACAGAACCCCGAUUGCGAAGGCAGCUUACCAAUCUAUAUCUGACGUUGAGGCAGGAAAGCGUGGGUAGCAAACAGGAUUAGAUACCCUGGUAGUCCACGCAGUAAACGAUGAUAGCUCGUUGUCGGCGAUACACAGUCGGUGACUUAGCGAAAGCGUUAAGCUAUCCACCUGGGGAGUACGUUCGCAAGAAUGAAACUCAAAGGAAUUGACGGGGGCCCGCACAAGCGGAGGAACAUGUGGUUUAAUUCGAUGAUACGCGAGGAACCUUACCCGGGCUUGAAAGUUAGUGACGGACAUGGAAACAUGUCUUCCCUUCGGGGCACGAAACUAGGUGCUGCAUGGUUGUCGUCAGCUCGUGCCGUGAGGUGUCGGAUUAAGUUCCAUAACGAGCGCAACCCUUGCCGAUAGUUGCCAUCAGGUCAUGCUGGGCACUCUAUUGGGACUGCCGGUGUAAACCGUGAGGAAGGUGGGGAUGACGUCAAAUCAGCACGGCCCUUACGUCCGGGGCGACACACGUGUUACAAUGGUCGGUACAGAGGGCAGCUACCCCGCGAGGGGAUGCGAAUCUCGAAAGCCGAUCUCAGUUCGGAUUGGAGGCUGAAACCCGCCUCCAUGAAGUUGGAUUCGCUAGUAAUCGCGCAUCAGCCAUGGCGCGGUGAAUACGUUCCCGGGC
This 1355-nucleotide ribosomal RNA is filed under the name uncultured Bacteroidales bacterium. RNAcentral describes it as "bacterial SSU rRNA". It matches the Rfam family "Bacterial small subunit ribosomal RNA", at positions 28 to 1379 of the family's 1533-position model. Lineage: Bacteria; Pseudomonadati; Bacteroidota; Bacteroidia; Bacteroidales. The record is from RNAcentral.